GAUGAACGCUGGCGGCGUGCCUAAUACAUGCAAGUCGAGCGAACAGACGAGGAGCUUGCUCCUCUGACGUUAGCGGCGGACGGGUGAGUAACACGUGGAUAACCUACCUAUAAGACUGGGAUAACUUCGGGAAACCGGAGCUAAUACCGGAUAAUAUAUUGAACCGCAUGGUUCAAUAGUGAAAGACGGUUUUGCUGUCACUUAUAGAUGGAUCCGCGCCGCAUUAGCUAGUUGGUAAGGUAACGGCUUACCAAGGCGACGAUGCGUAGCCGACCUGAGAGGGUGAUCGGCCACACUGGAACUGAGACACGGUCCAGACUACUACGGGAGGCAGCAGUAGGGAAUCUUCCGCAAUGGGCGAAAGCCUGACGGAGCAACGCCGAGUGAGUGAUGAAGGUCUUCGGAUCGUAAAACUCUGUUAUUAGGGAAGAACAAAUGUGUAAGUAACUAUGCACGUCUUGACGGUACCUAAUCAGAAAGCCACGGCUAACUACGUG
Molecule: ribosomal RNA, 497 nt
Filed under: uncultured bacterium
Lineage: Bacteria
Description: partial 16S ribosomal RNA
Rfam family: Bacterial small subunit ribosomal RNA
Source: RNAcentral